AACUCUGAUUCUAGAAUUUUUG
This 22-nucleotide microRNA is filed under the name Oryza sativa (Asian cultivated rice). RNAcentral describes it as "osa-miR2090". The record is from miRBase by way of RNAcentral. Lineage: Eukaryota; Viridiplantae; Streptophyta; Magnoliopsida; Poales; Poaceae.